Molecule: ribosomal RNA, 253 nt
Filed under: uncultured bacterium
Lineage: Bacteria
Description: partial 16S ribosomal RNA
Rfam family: Bacterial small subunit ribosomal RNA
Source: RNAcentral
UACGGAGGGGGCUAGCGUUGUUCGGAAUUACUGGGCGUAAAGCGCACGUAGGCGGCUUUGUAAGUUAGAGGUGAAAGCCCGGGGCUCAACUCCGGAAUUGCCUUUAAGACUGCAUCGCUAGAAUUGUGGAGAGGUAAGUGGAAUUCCGAGUGUAGUGGUGAAAUGCGUAGAGAUCGGCAGGAACACCUAGGGGGAAACCAGUGGACUGGGCAUCGGCUGACGCUCAGGUGCGAAAGCGUGGGGAGCGAACCGG